UAAGUCGCGCACAGCGAAGAUAA
This 23-nucleotide small nuclear RNA is filed under the name Arabidopsis thaliana (thale cress). Its description in RNAcentral is "snRNA_13729". The record is from RNAcentral. Lineage: Eukaryota; Viridiplantae; Streptophyta; Magnoliopsida; Brassicales; Brassicaceae.